Molecule: ribosomal RNA, 253 nt
Filed under: uncultured bacterium
Lineage: Bacteria
Description: partial 16S ribosomal RNA
Rfam family: Bacterial small subunit ribosomal RNA
Source: RNAcentral
UACGAAGGGGGCUAGCGUUGCUCGGAAUCACUGGGCGUAAAGGGUGCGUAGGCGGGUCUUUAAGUCAGGGGUGAAAUCCUGGAGCUCAACUCCAGAACUGCCUUUGAUACUGAGGAUCUUGAGUACAGGAGAGGUGAGUGGAACUGCGAGUGUAGAGGUGAAAUUCGUAGAUAUUCGCAAGAACACCAGUGGCGAAGGCGGCUUACUGGUCCGGUUCUGACGCUGAGGCGCGAAAGCGUGGGGAGCAAACAGG